UGAGUCAUUGGAAGAGGUCCAUAG
This 24-nucleotide non-coding RNA is filed under the name Mus musculus (house mouse). Lineage: Eukaryota; Metazoa; Chordata; Mammalia; Rodentia; Muridae. The record is from RNAcentral.